AUAAUUUUUGUGGUAGAUCAGUGUUCUUUACAUGUUAAUUGUGGUGGGAAUGAUAUGACUAUAGAAGAAAGCCAUGGAAGAGUUGUAUAUCAAGGAGAUGUGUAUGGUGAUUCUGCAAGAUAUUUAAGUAGCAGUCAAUGGGGUUUUACUGGCACCGGGGACUUCAUGGACGAGCCUAAUUACCAAAAUUCAUGUCUUGUGAUCCUACAUCGACAACAAAUCUCUCUGAUUUGCAUAGUACAGCACGUCUUAAACCUCUUUCACUUACAUAUUUUCAUUAUUGCCUAGAGAAUGGGAGUUACAAUGUGAGCUUGCACUUUGUUGAAAUUCUUUUCACAAAUGACAAUCGUAUUACAGUCUUGGACGG
This 367-nucleotide long non-coding RNA is filed under the name Olea europaea subsp. europaea. Lineage: Eukaryota; Viridiplantae; Streptophyta; Magnoliopsida; Lamiales; Oleaceae. The record is from RNAcentral.